CUCCGCUUGGUGUAGUUGGUUUAUCACGUCGGGCUGUAAUUGCAUAUCUGUCACGUGACUUAUGGUCACGUGACUGAUUUUCCGAAACCUGAAGGUCCCUAGUUCGAUUCUGGGAGCGGAGA
Non-coding RNA from Coniosporium apollinis CBS 100218, 122 nucleotides. Lineage: Eukaryota; Fungi; Ascomycota; Dothideomycetes. The record is from the annotation of a RefSeq genome assembly.